Molecule: ribosomal RNA, 468 nt
Filed under: uncultured bacterium
Lineage: Bacteria
Description: partial 16S ribosomal RNA
Rfam family: Bacterial small subunit ribosomal RNA
Source: RNAcentral
GACGAACGCUGGCGGCGUGCUUAACACAUGCAAGUCGAACGGAAAGGCCCUGCUUUUGUGGGGUGCUCGAGUGGCGAACGGGUGAGUAACACGUGAGUAACCUGCCCUUGACUUUGGGAUAACUUCAGGAAACUGGGGCUAAUACCGGAUAGGAGCUCCUGCUGCAUGGUGGGGGUUGGAAAGUUUCGGCGGUUGGGGAUGGACUCGCGGCUUAUCAGCUUGUUGGUGGGGUAGUGGCUUACCAAGGCUUUGACGGGUAGCCGGCCUGAGAGGGUGACCGGCCACAUUGGGACUGAGAUACGGACCAGACGCCUACGGGAGGCAGCAGUGGGGAAUAUGGCACAAUGGGCGGAAGCCUGAUGCAGAAACGCCGCGUGCGGGAUGACGGCCUUCGGGUUGUAAACCGCUUUCGCCUGUGACGAAGCGUGAGUGACGGUAAUGAGUAAAGAAGCACCGGCUAACUACGUG